This is a long non-coding RNA of Pipra filicauda (Wire-tailed manakin), 468 nucleotides long. RefSeq lists it as uncharacterized. The record is from RefSeq and is a predicted model, not a curated record. Lineage: Eukaryota; Metazoa; Chordata; Aves; Passeriformes; Pipridae. The transcript is spliced from 3 exons.
AGCCUUCUCCCAGGAAUUUUGUGUGGCAGCCUUUUUGAUAAGCAAAAGAGGAGAAUAGCUGGCAGUGGCUAUCAGCUCUUCCUCGUUGAGCACCUGAUGCCCAAGUGUGACAGGGUGUGGGAAAAGCUGAGCACCAUCUCCUGGAAGCAGCAAAUAUAAGCCCACAACAGCAACAGAUGCUGGACCUGAUGCCCUACCUAGGAGCACUGUGACAAAGCCUGAUUUCUAUCUGGCUGCUCUUCUUCGUUGCUGCAUGCCUGGGGAUGAGCUCAGCCAACAUGUAGCCGUGGCUAACCUGGGCAUGCAGUGGACCGAGGUCUGAGGGAUCUGUGCACUGUGCAGAUGAGCUGGAGAGUGGGAUGGGCUGCACAGUCAUUCCUGGGGGCAACAGCAACAUGAUUCUCAGCGAUGGUCAGUGUUUGGCUCCUGUAUGCUGUGCAGGAGAACAGGAUUUACCAUCAGGGCUGG